RNAcentral lists this ribosomal RNA (16 nucleotides) under Aglaia lawii. Its description in RNAcentral is "partial 26S ribosomal RNA". RNAcentral also lists the same sequence under 2 other names. Lineage: Eukaryota; Viridiplantae; Streptophyta; Magnoliopsida; Sapindales; Meliaceae. The record is from RNAcentral.
UGCGACCCCAGGUCAG